Molecule: long non-coding RNA, 633 nt
Filed under: Podarcis muralis (Common wall lizard)
Lineage: Eukaryota; Metazoa; Chordata; Lepidosauria; Squamata; Lacertidae
Description: lncRNA (ENSPMRG00000005954.1)
Source: RNAcentral
CCGCCCCUCGACACCCCACCCUGGGUGCCAGAGAGCCUUCCUUCGCCCCUGCAUUCACAUACCUGUAGUUUAUUUAUUUUGUUUUAUUUUGUGUCUGUAUUUGUUCAAGAGUGAUUUAUUCCUAUAUAUGGAUUAUGUAUAUUAUCAUCACACCCUGUUUGUUCUAUUAUUAUUAUUAUUAUUAUUAUUAUUAUUAUUAUUAUUAGAGUCCUGUCUUGCUAUUAACACAGUGUAAGAGAGUAGCGUCUCUCGCACUGGGUAAGCACUCACUCUCACAUGCAUGCAAGUUCUCUUUGGGUGAAGGCCAUUGGCACUGCUGGCCACGCACUGAAGAACACUUUUUCCUUGCAGGAUCACAGAGCACAUGCAUGGAGAACAAACAGCCACUGUGCACCCAGAGUUCCACUACAGCCCUUACAGGGAAAGAGCCAACUAUUCAACAGCUAUGAGACCUACCCCAUGCCCAGUUCCUUGCAGAUCAUGAGGAAGGCCCACAACCAUGAGCCCUGGAGGUUUGCCAGCCUAUUUGCUCCACACAGGUUCCUCCUUGCUCCUGACCGGCAAAAGACUCUUUCUUUGACACAGUACAUCUUCAACACUUGUCCCAAGGAGUCCUGUGUGUCCUCUCUGUAG